Phalacrocorax carbo (great cormorant) is the source of this 171-nucleotide non-coding RNA. The record is from RefSeq and is a predicted model, not a curated record. NCBI's taxonomy places the organism in Eukaryota, Metazoa, Chordata, Aves, Suliformes, Phalacrocoracidae.
UGUGAAGUAGGCGGUGCCGCCGCACAGCCGUCACUGCUGCGCAGGGGCGGGAACCGCCUCCCCGCGCCACGAAGAAAAAAUCUUGUGAUGUAGAAGAAAGAAGAAAAAUGGAGGAUGUAGAAGGACUUCCUUUGCUCUCUCUCCAUGGAUGUUAGAAAUGGACAAGACCAA